GGCACGGGGACUGUGGUUUAUUCGAGCAACGCGCAGAACCUUACCAGCUCUUGACAUUCGGGGUAUGGGCAUUGGAGACGAUGUCCUUCAGUUAGGCUGGCCCCAGAACAGGUGCUGCAUGGCUGUCGUCAGCUCGUGUCGUGAGAUGUUGGGUUAAGUCCCGCAACGAGCGCAACCCUCGCCCUUAGUUGCCAGCAUUUAGUUGGGCACUCUAAGGGGACUGCCGGUGAUAAGCCGAGAGGAAGGUGGGGAUGACGUCAAGUCCUCAUGGCCCUUACGGGCUGGGCUACACACGUGCUACAAUGGUGGUGACAGUGGGCAGCGAGACAGCGAUGUCUAGCUAAUCUCCAAAAGCCAUCUCAGUUCGGAUUGCACUCUGCAACUCGAGUGCAUGAAGUUGGAAUCGCUAGUAAUCGCAGAUCAACUUGCUGCAUGAGAAUACGUUCCCGGGCCUUGAACCCACCUUCAAUAAAUACCCCCAAAAUCGAUAAUUUUGAACC
Molecule: ribosomal RNA, 500 nt
Filed under: Rhizobium sp. PSP003
Lineage: Bacteria; Pseudomonadati; Pseudomonadota; Alphaproteobacteria; Hyphomicrobiales; Rhizobiaceae
Description: bacterial SSU rRNA
Rfam family: Bacterial small subunit ribosomal RNA
Source: RNAcentral